CGGAUAUGAGUAGAGCGGCGGACGGGUGAGUAACGCGUAGGAAUCUACCUAGUAGAAGGGGAUAGCCCGAGGAAACUCGGAUUAAUACCGUAUACCUCUUCGGGAGAAAGAAGGCCUCUCUUUGAAGCUUUCGCUACUAGAUGAGCCUGCGUAAGAUUAGCUUGUUGGUGAGGUAAAGGCUCACCAAGGCUACGAUCUUUAGCGGGUCUGAGAGGACGAUCCGCCACAUUGGGACUGAGACACGGCCCAGACUCCUACGGGAGGCAGCAGUGGGGAAUAUUGGACAAUGGGCGAAAGCCUGAUCCAGCCAUACCGCGUGUGUGAAGAAGGCCCUAGGGUUGUAAAGCACUUUAAGUUGGGAAGAAAAGUUAUUGGUUAAUACCCAAUGACCGUGACAUUACCAUCAGAAUAAGGACCGGCUAAUUCCGUGCCAGCAGCCGCGGUAAUACGGAAGGUCCAAGCGUUAAUCGGAAUUACUGGGCGUAAAGCGCGCGUAGGUGGUUUAUUAAGUUGGGUGUGAAAUCCCCGGGCUCAACCUGGGAACUGCAUCCAAAACUGAUUCACUAGAGUACGAUAGAGGGAGGUAGAAUUCACAGUGUAGCGGUGGAAUGCGUAGAUAUUGUGAAGAAUACCAAUGGCGAAGGCAGCCUCCUGGAUCUGUACUGACACUGAGGUGCGAAAGCGUGGGUAGCGAACAGGAUUAGAUACCCUGGUAGUCCACGCCGUAAACGAUGUCAACUAUCUGUUGGAAAGCAUUGCUUUUCAGUGGAGCAGCUAACGUAAUAAGUUGACCGCCUGGGGAGUACGGCCGCAAGGCUAAAACUCAAAUGAAUUGACGGGGACCCGCACAAGCGGUGGAGCAUGUGGUUUAAUUCGAUGCAACGCGAAAAACCUUACCUA
Molecule: ribosomal RNA, 900 nt
Filed under: marine metagenome
Description: bacterial SSU rRNA
Rfam family: Bacterial small subunit ribosomal RNA
Source: RNAcentral